RNAcentral lists this ribosomal RNA (720 nucleotides) under Cephaloboides sp. 1 HMM2018. RNAcentral's name for it is "partial 28S ribosomal RNA". It matches the Rfam family "Eukaryotic large subunit ribosomal RNA", at positions 156 to 874 of the family's 3401-position model. The record is from RNAcentral. Lineage: Eukaryota; Metazoa; Nematoda; Chromadorea; Rhabditida; Rhabditidae.
GUUGUGUGUCCGGUCAAGAACGAAACCUAAUUCCCUUCGAAAGGGGAUCUAGUCCACAGAGGGUGCAAGUCCCGUGCGGAUUCGUUUGAGGCUAGGGUGGCAGUACCUUGGAGUCGGGUUGCUUGAAAGUGCAGCCUAAAGUGGGUGAUAAACUUCAUCUAAGACUAAAUACGAGCGUGAAAUCGAUAGCCAACAAGUACCGUGAGGGAAAGUUGCAAAGAACUUUGAAGAGAGAGUUCAAGAGAGCGUGAAAUCACUGGCAUGUAACCGGAGGGAGCUGAUGUAGCCUUGGGCCAUGUUUUUCCAACGACGUUCUUACGUUUGAGGAAGGGCGGAAACCCUUAGCUACACCGACAGCUUUGAUUGUGUGCUUCGACCCGGAUUGUGCUGCCCAACUGCUCGCAGUUGGUGUCUUGCGUCCGGUUAGAUUCAUCACGGUCAAUGUUUAGCCCUGCUUGCAGGGUGUCGGUGUCAAAAGUUGGCCACCCCUCCGUCCCGUCUUGAAACACGGACCGAGGAGUGUAUCUAGUACGCGAGUCAAGGGGUGAUAAAACCCUACGGCGCAAUGAAAAUGAUAUCAUGGGAUUCCUCUUUGAGGACGCACCAUGGCCCUAUCCCAGUUGCUUGCAACGGGGUGGAGGAAGAGCGUACUGGAUGCAACCCAAAAAAUGGUGAACUAUGCCUGACCAGGAAAAAGUCAAAGGAAACUCUGAAGGAAAU